CAAACGUUGCAGGAAGGGUGUCUGAAAGGAUGCCCGUCUACGGACCUGCGACGAGGUGCUGCAUGGUUGUCGUCAGCUCGUGCCGUGAGGUGUCGGCUUAAGUGCCAUAACGAGCGCAACCCCUACCGCCAGUUGCCAACAGGCAAAGCUGGGGACUCUGGCGGGACUGCCGGCGCAAGCUGCGAGGAAGGCGGGGAUGACGUCAAAUCAGCACGGCCCUUACGUCCGGGGCGACACACGUGUUACAAUGGCAGGUACAGCGGGAAGCCACCUGGCGACAGGGAGCGGAACCCGAAAGCCUGUCUCAGUUCGGAUUGGAGUCUGCAACCCGACUCCAUGAAGCUGGAUUCGCUAGUAAUCGCGCAUCAGCCACGGCGCGGUGAAUACGUUCCCGGGCCUUGUACACACCGCCCGUCAAGCCAUGGGAGUCGGGAGUGCCUGAAGUGCGUGAGCGCGAGCAGCGCCCUAGGGCAAAACCGAUGACUGGGGCUAAGUCGUAACAAGGUAGCCGU
This 512-nucleotide ribosomal RNA is filed under the name uncultured bacterium. Its description in RNAcentral is "bacterial SSU rRNA". It matches the Rfam family "Bacterial small subunit ribosomal RNA", at positions 982 to 1503 of the family's 1533-position model. The record is from RNAcentral.